UCCAUUGCAGAUGACAGUUCGUUGUAAACAAUCCGAGAAAAGUUUUUCGAGCAAAAUAAAUAUUUAACAAAUUACCUACCUAUAUCCAAUUUAAGCAAGUUAAUUUGUUAAAAAUGGUCUACACAAUAGUGGUUCUGAGAUACAAGUGUAUUAUGCAGCGAACGAGAUGAUGAACGACCUCAUCGUGACCUAGCUCCACCAAAGGUGGUUCCGGCGCGCCGGGAUGUAUAGGAACUGCAAAAUGCGAAAGCUUUGAAUUCAUUUUUAGACCAGGACCUCGACCAGGUCAGUCCACCGGGUGGAGUCCGACAAGAAUUGUGCAAGUCAGUGCCGCUAAAACAGAAAAAUAAUCAUUGGCACGACACGAGUUAGCUGUACUGGGAUCAGCAAGUUUCAGUUCCUGGCAAUCGCUGGCAUUAAAUUAAAAUUUCGCUCGCUCCGUCGGGUGAAUUCAAAAGAAGUUGCCCUUGGACUGGCUCUCGAAGAGGUUGAAUUUCUAUUAUAAAAUCAACACGCAACCGUCCUUUGAUGAGCUGUCCUACCUGCCGCGUCAGGUCGAAAGUCAGAAGGAGAAGCAGUUGUCGUUUUGAAAGUAUUCGCUUAUAGUUAUUUAAGGAUGUGCUAGUUAGAAAGAUGAGCCGGUGCCACAUAUGGGGCGCUGUUUGCCAAACUCGAUAUGGAACUAUGCGACCAAAGACAAGUUUGUCAUCGUGGUGAAUUGUGCACACCCGGCAAAGAAUCUGUUUGUGAAGAUGCUCCGAUAUUCAUUACUGUGCUCGACCUUGCUCGUCGAAGUAGUUCUGAAAAUGUUCACAGUUGAGGCUCGCAGAGGAAACUGAGCAAGUUUGUAAGCCCAGCAAGCGGGAGCCUAUAGGCCGCCAGCAUGUUCAUCAAAGAUUCAUUGAAUAUGAUCGAAUCCCAAGCCAAUCACCUCGAAGAAACGUUCCGCAAAGAUUGUGAGCAGCAAAGAAACCGAAUUGUAAAGCUGAUCCAAAUGCCAUUUUGAAUCGUGUUUAGAGUUAUGGAGAAAUGACCUUGAUAUGGGACAGUUUCCAAAUUUAUGGCGAAUAUGUGAGGUCUAUUUUACUGGCUAGUAAACCGUAAAAUUUAACCGAAUCAUUCUUCGAUUGAGAACUUAUAUAAGUGAUUAUAUUGUGUUUAUGUAUAUAUUAGUCGACCCGGCAAACGUUGUCCUGGUAGGCGAAAAUGCGCGUUGUGAACUGCCCAUGCAAAAUUUCCAUACGAUUCGUAAUUUUAGUUUUUCACGUUUACUCAACCUUCCUCGUAAUUUUUGCAUGAGGAAAUAUUAUAUAAACCAGUCGGGAACGAUAACGAACAUAUUUGCAGAAGGAAUGAAGAAAAUCCAUCCAGCCGUUUUCGAGUUAUUCUGAUACGAACACAUUUUUAUUAAAAGAAUGAGAUAGAUAUGUUUGAAUUUAGUGGCCGCUUUGCCCCGGCUGGAAGACUGCGAGCUCGUUUAGUUGGAAACGUGGCAGGUUCACCGACAUAGUUUCGAAACCAAUCUUUUGCUGAAUUUUAUGAUUAGGCGUAUGUGGUGAAAUAUUGUCAUGAGAAAGGGGAACCAACAUUAAAUAUGUCAUUAAUGAUAAUUAUAUUCACAAUAUUAUUAUGAUUGAUAAAUUGACAAUAAUGUAAAAGUGUGAU
This is a long non-coding RNA of Armigeres subalbatus, 1665 nucleotides long. RefSeq lists it as uncharacterized. The transcript is spliced from 3 exons. NCBI's taxonomy places the organism in Eukaryota, Metazoa, Arthropoda, Insecta, Diptera, Culicidae. The record is from RefSeq and is a predicted model, not a curated record.